UACGGAGGGUGCGAGCGUUGUCCGGAAUCACUGGGCGUAAAGGGCGCGUAGGCGGCCUGAUAAGUAGGGGGUGAAAUCCUGCGGCUUAACCGCAGGGCUGCCUUCUAAACUGUCGGGCUUGAGCACAGUAGAGGCAGGUGGAAUUCCCGGUGUAGCGGUGGAAUGCGUAGAGAUCGGGAAGAACAUCAGUGGCGAAGGCGGCCUGCUGGACAAAGACUGACGCUCAGGUGCGAAAGCGUGGGGAGCAAACAGG
Molecule: ribosomal RNA, 253 nt
Filed under: uncultured bacterium
Lineage: Bacteria
Description: partial 16S ribosomal RNA
Rfam family: Bacterial small subunit ribosomal RNA
Source: RNAcentral